AGUUUCUUUUAUACAAUUUUGUGGAAUUUAUGGGGGGGAAAAAAAUCAUUGCAUUUAAUCAGGUUUUCAGUCAUUCUAAUCUUUGUGAUCAGCAGUAAUUGUUUUUGUGUCGUCAUUAACUGGGUAGAAGAGAAUUUUAAUUUUUUAAUGUUUUUAAUUUAUCUGAAAAUGUGGCUCCUCACUUGAUAAUUGCUUAGUUUUAGAUUUUAUCUGUGUUGUUAGCAGUUAUAUUUGGACAUUUUGUUAAGCUGCUGAUGGGUGAGACAUCCAACAACACUUAUCAAAAUUCUACAAUCUACAGCAUUUGCAUAGCACUUUGUUUUUUUUUUUUUUUUUAAAAAGG
Thalassophryne amazonica is the source of this 343-nucleotide long non-coding RNA. RefSeq lists it as uncharacterized. NCBI's taxonomy places the organism in Eukaryota, Metazoa, Chordata, Actinopteri, Batrachoidiformes, Batrachoididae. The record is from RefSeq and is a predicted model, not a curated record. The transcript is spliced from 3 exons.